Molecule: RNA transcript, 4060 nt
Organism: Dromiciops gliroides (monito del monte)
Lineage: Eukaryota; Metazoa; Chordata; Mammalia; Microbiotheria; Microbiotheriidae
Gene: TMEM196
Gene name: transmembrane protein 196
Exons: 4
Source: RefSeq, a predicted model, not a curated record
AUCUGAAAGGAAUGAUGACCGAGGGAGGAUGUGCACCAGCGGCCAGAUCAUUGGGAGCCUGCUGGUGCUCUCUGUGCUGGAGAUAGGGCUGGGGGCGUCCAGCGUUGCCGUGGGGGCAGUGAGCUUCAGCCUGGCCCUCAGAGAGCACCAGCCGCAGCUUGGAGACUCCUCUCCGGUAUGGAGCGGGCUGUGUUUUCUUCUCUGCGGCAUCUGUGGAAUUCUGUGUGCCAAAAAGAAGUCCGGGCUUGUUAUGAUCCUUUUUUCGGCCUGCUGCAUCUGUGGGCUAAUUGGUGGCAUCCUGAAUUUCCAGUUCCUCCGAGCGGUCACCAAGAAGACAUCCUCACUCUACCCCCUGCGCCUGGCCUCCAUGUCUCUGGCCUGCAUUGGGAUUGGGGGCUGUACCCUUUCCUCUUGGCUCACUUGCCGCCUGGCCAGCUAUGAACAAAGACGCAUGUUCUCUGAACGAGAGCACUCCUUGCACCAUUCCCACGAAAUGGCAGAAAAAGUGAGUUCUGGGCCGGGCCCCAUCACUGCCCAUUUGUGUUGAAGGGUGCAUUCUGCGGCUGGGGGAACCUGCUGCCACUUUUAGAAAAUGUCUGGGAGACCCAUGUCGGCCAUCAUCCUCUAGAGGCUUAGCCCUGCUGGAUUGGAAAUGACAGACAAUAUCAGCAAUGGAGGGCCACAACUAAUAUUUAACGGAAGAGUAUAACAGACAUUUUUACAACAUUGAACCAUUCUUUCUUGAUUUUGGAUUUCCAUCAGAAAAAGGAUUCAUCCAGUAUGGAAACACUGUUGGCUUUUCCUGGCAGGUUUCUGCUGUUCUGGAACACCCUGGCACAUUUCCCUCUUGGAUUUUUACUAACAUUUCUCCUCCUGGACUUGGCCACACAGAGCUUUCCAGUUGUCUCUAUUAGGCUAAGAACUUUCCAGGAGUGUUGUCAGAAGGGCUUUCAGAUCAGUUUCUCAGAUCACUUUCAUGAAGGUUUUUCAGAAGAGGAAAUAAACGAAACAAAAAUUGUGUUCCAGUAUGGCCUAAGCCACACUUUAACCGGCAUAAGGAGACAGGGGAGAGAGAAAGGUGAAGCUUGCCUAUGACUGGUCUCAAGCUGUAGAUUAAAUGAAUGCCCAUCUUCUGAGGAUAUUGAUGUUCUGAACAAUGGACGGCUGCAAGAACAGCAUGACUCAAGAUAUCAGCCAUGCCUUGUUACAAAAAACAAAAACAAAAAAACCCCAAACAUCUGUAAAUAUUUCCAGUUUUUGGAUUCAGCAUAUUUCAUAAUUUAUUCAUAAAAUAAGAUAAAUAAAAUGAAGCCUAAAUUAGAAGUAAAGUGAUUUUUUUUUCUUUUCAGAAAGAACACUAGUCAGUAUGAAUGAUAGCUUUAUAUUGCUUGCACAAUGAUUGGAAAGGUUGCCAAACGAUUAUGAUUUUCUAAAACCUAUGUUCUCUUUUAUCAGACUGUACAAAAGAAUCUGGGUCCAGAAAUAAUGACUCUGCCACACAAAAGUAUGUGUACAUAUAUACUGUAAAUAUAGAAAAAUAUAUGACAUAUAUUUAUAAUAUACAUGUAUGUAAAUAGAUUGGGGGGAAAUUGGGAAGAUUUCAGCUUAUCCCCACAAAUUUGUGAUAGAAGUUAGCCAAUUUUUCCUAUAUCUUUUUCAGAGACUACACAUCAUUGAAUUAAUUUUGAUGUGUCUUUUUUUUUCUCCUUGAACCCAUUUGGUGGAUGUAAAUAUUGUUGUAUUUGGUGUUGGGUCAUGAGGAAAAGGUUUUUGAACAAGAUGAUUAAUCAAAAAGGGAAAUUGUAGAAGAAUUGGACCUUCUGAAUAUGGUUUGCAAAACACAGGUUUAGGGGGCAGCUAGGUGGCACAGUGGAUAAAGUACCGGCCCUGGAUUCAGGAGGACCUGAGUUCAAAUCCAGCCUCAGACACUUGACACAAGCUGUGUGACCCUGGGCAAGUCACUUAACCUUCAUUGCCCUGCAAAAAAAAAAAAAAAGAAAGAAAAGAAAACAUAGGUUUUUACGUCACAAUGUCUAUUUCAUAUGCAUAUCACCCAUAUUUAAGCUAGGUACCUACAUGUUUACUUAUAUCAACUCUUCAUCACCUAAGUAAUUUUCAAUUCUUUCUAGUCAAACUCAGGCAUGUGGAUAACAGGUCAUCUAGUCCCCAAAUAAUGAAAUUCAAAUGGCCUUAGGGUUUCCUUUAUUUAAAACUUCAGAUAAAGCAAUAGAGUAUUGAUGCUUAGCCAGAAAUUAGACAUUCUGUGGCCCUCAAAGAGACCUCAGCUGGAAGAAUGAGAGAGAAAAUGUAUAAAAACUAUUCAUGGCUGAAUCUUCAAAUAACCAUUGAUGACACUGAUGAGUAGACACAGAAAAGGAUCAUCAUCUCAGGAAAUGAAUGCAUUACCUUUGUAUCAUUUUUUCACUUCUGUUUGACUGCAUAUUGUACAAAGUCCUUUCUCACAUGAUCUCAUGUGAUCCUCACCAAAACCUUAUGAAGCAGGUAAAACAAUUAUUCUUUUUCUCUAUUUAAAGACAACAAAAUAAAUACCUGGAGAAAUUGAGGAACUUCCUCUGGGUCACACAGCUUGUAAAUGGUGGACAGGAUUCGAAUAUGGAUCUUCUGAAGUGCUCUUCCUAUGUGCUUUCAAUCAUGCCAUUAAAGCCCCCAUUCUAUUUUAUGGACAUAGAAGUUCUGGCAACAACUAGGGAAAUUAAUUUUUGAUUAGUGAAAUGGCCCUGAAUCAGAUUUUGAUUUCAAGGAGAAAGGGUGAGGUUGAGACCAUUUUUAAAAAAUAUAAAAUUGGGAUAUCUUAACAUGGAGUGGCUGAACUCUAUGGGAAGGGACACAUUUCUAUUUGAGAACCUUGCUAUGAUCUUUAUGCAGAAAAAAUGUCCAGAAUUUUAGCUAAUGGCAAACUAAAAUUCUACUGAUGACUUCUAAACUGCUUAAUAAUCAUCCCCUUACAAUCCUAUGGAAACCAGUGAAUCAAAAAGUUUUUUUUCCCCCUCCUCAUUGUCUCUCUGGAUGAAAACAGUGGCCAAUUUGGUGCUGGUGUUUUGUUUUGUUUUCAUUUUUCUAUUCUUACCAAAAGCCUUGCCAGCUUAUCUGUAUCUUCACAUUAUCAAGUCAAUGGAUUCUAGAAGUCUCAUCUCAUGAAAAAUACUAAACGAAUAUAUGAUGGUGCUUGGGUGGUGUGCAUGUGCCCAGCUGGCCUCUAGCCCCGGAAAUCCCAACUGUCCAAGGACACUCUUGCAGUCCUGCUUUCUAAGACUCUAUUACUUGGAUGAUUAUAAUUUUUUAAAUAACAGAAUAAACACCGAAUGUAGCUUAACAUGGUGUUUCUUCCUUUGUGACCAUGUUAGUAAAAUAUGAAGCGCAAUGCAUUAGGCCCAGAGCUGUUUUCUGGGUAAGAUAUUUAUCCCCCUUGAACACUUUUACAAAAAACUACAGUAAAAACAAAACAAAACAAAACCAAAAUCCUUUUUUUUUUUUAAAGUGGCAUAUGGACAGACUAUUGUUCCUUUUUUGAAAAGCUGUCAUAAGAGACCCUAACAACCAAUAUAAUUAAGAACAAGAACGAAUGGCAUAUGCUAGAUGACAUAUUCAUAUAUCUCUUUUCAAAUGCAAUUAUUGUAAGUUUUAAAAAAAAGUCUCAGGGCUGAAAUCACAUUGAGAUUUAAAUGGAAUCUUUUCUGAUCUCAUUCCAGAGAAGGGAAAGCAUCUCAAAUCCAUGUCUGUGUGCUUGGAAAUUUAAUUUCCAUCACACAUUGAAUUGACUUAUAAUUUUAUAAGUGACUACAUUCAAGAGUUGGCAUGAGCCAGUGCCCUCCGGGGUGUUGUAAUGGGAGACCUAAUGCCCAACUGUCAGGGGGGCUGAUGUGGUAUUGGUAUGGCGAGUCCAGCCAUGCCAUGGAGAGGCAGGUCCUGCCAGAAGCCUCAGAGGGAGAAGGGGGAGUCUGCCUGGAAAAUGGAGAAAUUAAUAGGGUUGUGGUCGCCAAGGAGAACAUUUGACAGAAGAGUUGGUCCUGUGACUGUGCUGAUAUGUGUCUCUUUAAUA